This 5326-nucleotide long non-coding RNA is filed under the name Sus scrofa (pig). Its description in RNAcentral is "lncRNA (ENSSSCG00000062207.1)". The record is from RNAcentral. Lineage: Eukaryota; Metazoa; Chordata; Mammalia; Artiodactyla; Suidae.
AACUUUAACUUUGUCUGGGCUUUCUUCCAUCCAAAGCCAAAGUCUACUUUUUCAUUCUGUAAUUUACUGUAUACACACUAUAGACAUUGCCCGUCUUAUUAGCCUUCCUAUUCCAGUGACUUGAUGCCAACUUCCCCUUGAACUUCUCCUGCCUUCUCUGCUUGGCACUGAGCACGCUGAAUGGUUUCUCUGUGUGUCUCAAUGAAAUCAGUGCCCUCAGGCAGGGAAUACAAGCACCUUCCAAAAGGGAGUCUGGCUCUGUGUUUCAACUCCUUGGGGAAUGACUAUGAACUCUGUCUCCUGUCCACAGAUGAUUUUAUAUUUCUCUUUUUAUUCUUUUAAAAAAUUCCACAUGGUGUUUCAUUCCUUGUAACUUGGGGUUGGUUUCAUGAGUUAAAGCAGAGUCAGCCCAUAAUAUUCUUUUUUUUUCUUUUUGUAUUUUUAGGGCUGUACCCAUGGCACAUGGAGGUUACCGGGCUAGAGAUCCAAUUGGAGCUACAGGUGCCAGCCACAGCCACAGCUCAGCAAUGCCAGAUCCGAGCUGCAUCUGCAACCUAUACUAUAGCUCAUGGCAAUGCCAGAUUCUAAACCCACUGAGUAAUAUCAGGGAUUGAACCUGCAUCCUCAUGGACACUAGUCAGAUUUGUUUCUGCUGAGCCAUGACAGGAAUUCUCCACAAUAUUCUUAUGAUUUUAAAGGAGUAUUUGGUUGGAGGGCUACUUUCAACAGCAUGUUUUUCAGUAUAAAAGGAGAAAAAUAUUUUCUUGCAGGAGGGAACCCAAUUUGAAAACAGAAAUCUAAGCAUCAGGAAAUAACACACACACAUGCACACAUGAGAGGCCACAUGGAUGCCUAUGUAUCUACGUGUAUUUGUAUUUAUAGAUAUUUUCUUUGGGGAGAGAGAGUGGUUUGGAGGAAAUUUCCAGGGAUAAUUUCUUGAUUGUAAUAAAUGGAUCUUUUCAUCAAGUGACACAAAGCGAUUCUAGUUUUCAUCAAACUCAAUUACUCAGUAAAUAUUUACUGAGCACCUAUAACUUUGCAUCAGCAAUUUGUGACACACAAAUUGCCAGACACUCUCAUUCUGAUAAUGGGUCUACAUUUACUCCACUUGAGUGUAAGAAAUUGAUGCAUAGGAUAUUUUAUUUGUCACCACUGUGCCUGUUUUCUUCAAGACAAUGAUUGGGCUGAAGAACAGCUAGUGCUGCCUCUCUUCAAGGAGAUUGUUGGAAGAGGUUAGCAAUAAGAUCCAACAAUUCAAUUCUGCUGGACCCCUAAUCAUGUAUCAGAAGGAUAUCCUCAGCUCUCCUCUCUAUAUUCAAUCGAUGUCUUUCCAGACAUGCUUAAACUGAUGCUCAGGCCUUUGCUCCUAUCACAAAAUUAGUCAUUAAGAGCUGUGUCAGAGUUUCCACUGUGGUGCAACAGGAUUGGUGGCAUCUCGGCAGUGCCAUGACACAGGUUCGGUCCCCAACCUGGCACAGUGGGUUAAGGAUCUGGCUUUUCUGCAGCUGCAGCUUAGGUUGCAGCUGUGGCUUGGAUCUGAUCCCUAGCCUGGAAACUGCAUAUGCCAUAGGGUGGCCAAAAAAGAAAAAAAAUCUGUGUCACUUGGCCCCAUAAUUAGUCAUGAAUUGUCUGCUAUACCAGUGAGGCAGAUGCUGAGAACAAUGCCUCAACAGUACCAGAGUUUUAGAAUCACCCCUUCCAAAGCCAGUUGACAACAAAUUCAUUUAUCUUUAAAUACAUGUCAAAGCCCCAAAACAGAUUUCAGAUUCCUCUUGUUCUCAAGUCUCCUAACAUUUGUACUUACAAUGCUACACAGGCCCUGUAGGAAUGGUACAACCUCAUGCUUGAUUGUUAUAUCUUGUUGCCUAAGCAGGGUGGGGUGUUGUGUGUACAAGGGGCUGCUACAAUCCCAUAUUUGUAUUUUGAUCCGUAUUUGCAGUUGCUGUUUAGUUUCUAGAAUAGAGAGCUCUUUCAAAGCUUGCAUACUCUGACUAGUUUGUAAAUACUCCUUUCUUCCAGCUCGUCAACUUUCCCAUCUCCUUCAAUCUCCUUCAGGAAGUACUUUCCAUCUUAUUAGGCCAUGUUGAUCUUUCCCUCCUCUGAACCCCAUUAUCAUUUAUUGUCAUCAGCAUUUGACACUCAUGUUUUUACUGCUUUAAAUGUAGUAUCUUGCCUGCUUAAUGAGACUGUAAUAGGUUCUUCAAGGGAACCAGCUGCAAUUAUAUUCCUUUGUGUCCACUACUGCCAGGCACUGUGAUAGGCUCACUGUAUGCACAAAGGUAAGUUUCUGGGUGAAACAACGAACGAAUAAAUGAAUAGGAAUACUGUGGGAACUGGUGGAGCAUUUUCUCAGAUUUCAUUGAACAUGAAACUGUUUAAAUCUGGGCUAAAUUAUAAUCACAGAGAGGACUCCUGACAAACAAGAAGUGUUGAAAUACUGGAAUCUCUUACCAGGGUAAAUUAUAGUUUAUGUAGAAUUUUAGAGAUAUCUAAUCCAUUUGAUGAUUACAUUAGUCAGGGUUCCCUAGAGAAACAGAACCAAAAGCAUAUAUAUAUAGCUUUAUUACAAGGAAUCAGCUCAUGCAAACAUGGAGGCCAGAAGUCUCAAGAUCUACGUUCUGCAAACUGGGAGACCAAGGAAAACCAGUGGUGUAAUUCAGUCUGGGUCUGAAACCCUGAAAAUCAGGCCUGUCAAAGGCAGGGAAAGAUCUAGUUCCCAUCUCAAGCAGUUAGGCAGAAAGGGCUGAAUUCUUCCUCCAACUUUUUCUUCUAUUCGGGCCCUCAGAUGAUUGGGUGAUGUCCACGGGCAUUGAAGAGGAUCCACUUUGCUGGGUCCAGCAACUCAAAUACUCAUUUCACCAGAAAUACCCUCCAGACACAGACACACUCCAAAAUAAUGGUUAGGCAAAUAUCUGUGCACCUUAUGAUCUAGUCCAAUUGACAGACAAAAUCACUAUUACAGAACUGAAGAAACUGAAAACCAUGGAUGUUAGUGACUUGUCUGAGGUUACUUAGCUGGCCAAGUGAAAAGUCAUGACCCAGGUCCUUUCUCUAACAAAGAGUCCAGUAUUUUGGAUCUUUGACAGGAAAUACAGACAACUGAGUGAAUAUCACCUGUGGGUUGCACACAAUGUACUAUAGGUGGUAUUCUCUCAAAUAUCACUCCCUGACACCACUCAGCUUAGAGUUGAAUUUUUGAUCCAUUCAUAUUGCAAUGGUGAGUUCUUUCUCUGUCUACUUUUGAGAGAUGGAAAUUUUCUUUAAGUUUAGGUCUCGUCACUCUUCACAGACCAGAGAAAUUUACUGUUAUUCUCAGGGCAUUCCAUUUCUGCUGGAAGCUUCAGAAAUGUCAUAGGAUGUUCAAGAUAUUUUCAAAGGAGACAUUGACAAAUGGAAGUGCAUCCAAAAGAAGGUGACCAGGCUUGUGCAAUGUCUGGAAAUAUGUCAUGUGAGGAAUGUGCCUGUCAUUUUAUGUUCAAGAAAAUGGUGAGGUUGAGUCAGAAUGAUGCUCCACAUCCCUGCAGGGCAAUGAUAACUUCCUUCAAUUAUUUGAAGAGCUGCCAUGUGAAACUAGGAUUCUAUAUCUUCUGAAUAGUUUUACAGUGCCAAACUUGGACCAGUGUGUGACAGGCACAAGGAGUCUGGUUUCUGCUGCAUAUAAACAGACUUAUCCAAUAGUUGAAGUUGUUGUUUCAGCUCCAUUUUUCACACCAGUGGAACUGCAUUGGGGACCCUUGUCAGAAAAUAUUCCCAUAUCAAAUGGGAGACAGCCUGGAGGUCCUAGUCACUUAUGGCUUGAAGAUUCUUGUGAGUAUGUGUCACCAAGCUACAUCCAAAUUAUGACAUUCAGACCCUGUUCAGCAACUCUCCCUCACCUUAUUCAGGCGAAGACCCUUUUAGGAAAGACGAUGCUGUUAGGAUCCACUGCUGACACUAGAGGCCCUGAUUAAUUGCCCAGGCUGUGCACAGUGUAGCUUAUAAUCUUGAGGUGUUCUCUUCACCACUACUUAACUCACCAUGUCUGAAGCUUUUCCUACAACAAUGAAAUAAUAUGGUUCUUUUUAAAAAUCUUGUUUUUACUAGAGUUUAGACGAUGUACAGGGUUGUGUCAGUUUCUGCUGUACCACAUAGUGACCUAAUCAUACAUAUAUACAUAUAUACAUAGUGAUCUAACCAUACAUAUAUACAUUCUUUUUCUCAUACUAUCUUCCAUCAUGUUCUAUAUCAAGAGAUUGAAUAUAGUUCCCUGUGUUGUACAAUAGGAUCUCAUUGCUUAUCCAUUCUAAAUGUAAUGGUUUGCAUCUACCAACCUCAAACUCCCUGUCCAUCCCACUCCCCACCCCUCAAGUAGAUAUUCCGAGUGGCUUGUGUAAAACCAGUGUAAUUUAAUGAACUAAAGCUUUGAAAGUGUUAGAAAAUGAAUCAAGCUGUAAAAUAUGCCAGAGGUUUUAAGAGAAAAUUGGUCAUGUUUCAGUAUCAUUGAAAUAAUAUUCCCUGUGAGUCAACAUCUAUAAUAUGAAUAUUCUUUCACGUCUCACCUUGAUUGGAAUAGAAAGUACAUAUUUAACGGGUUGAAUGUGACUCAAACUACCAUUCUAAUUAUAGUUUGUCUUUUAUCUUUUUUUUAAAUUUUUACUAAAGCAGCAAUCAAAGCUCAUGUUUAGGUUUAUACAGAUUUCACUGAACACACAAGUUCCAUGAUGGAACUCAUUUUAUUAGACCCUAUACUCAAUACAAAACAUCAGUUGCAGAGGGUCACGCUGCAUUUUUCUAGCUGUCACAUCAAUAUCUUGCUGAGUACCAUCUGCAAUGUCUUGGGUUCUGUAUUUAUACUGGGACUCAUUUUAGUUUGAUCCAAAAGCUAUUUCCAAAAUGCCUGAAGUAUACAGGAAAACACUUUAUCAACAGUUAGUCCACUGCUUUGGAGAUAGAAAUAGCAGUAACAUUCUCCACAGUAGUGGAUAUCUAGAUAAAUGAUGAUAAUAGGCUUAAGGAGAAACAAUUGUAAGAAAAGUUGUUUUAUCUUAAAUGAAUCUACCUCUCCUAAACUUGUGUAGCUCAAAGGAGAUUUGGAUGCUUGGCAACUCUUAGGUGUUGAAAUGCAAAGCCAAUAUUAGAAGCUAGUUAAUUCUUAUGUAAUAUAUCUGUAAUUUAGGAAGCUACCACUAGAUAAUAGAAUUAUCUUGAAAGAGAGCAACAUGGGCUAUGUAAAAAUCAUUCUUAAACUGUCCCUAACUGAUCUUUAUAAACUCUGAUGGACCUGCCCUCUCAGUCCAACAUGUCACCAUAUUUUCAGGUACAUAUAUAUAAUAGAAUACUGCUCAGC